AACGGCCGCGGUAUUAUGACUGCGCUAAGGUAGCGUAAUCACUUGUCUUCUAAAUAGAGACCAGUAUGAAUGGCACCACGAAGAUUUAACUGUCUCCCUACUCCAGUCAAUGAAAUUGAUCUAUCCGUGCAGAAGCGGAUAUAAAAACAUAAGACGAGAAGACCCUAUGGAGCUUUAGGAAUUAGGCAAACAUGUCAAGAAGCUAUAAACACAACGAAACAGCUUUAAACUUAGUGAAACAUGACCCAACUCCUUAGGUUGGGGCGACCCUGAGGCAAAAAACAGCCCUCAUAUGGAAAUAAAGGAAUGUACUAUUUAAGACCUUUACACCCACGAGCGACAACUCUAAGGAGCAGAACAUCUGACCAAAACUGACCCAGGAUUAAUUAACCUGAUUAUUGGACCAAGUUACCCUAGGGAUAACAGCGCAAUCUUCUCUUAGAGUUCAUAUCGACGAGAAGGCUUACGACCUCGAUGUUGGAUCAGGACAUCCUAAUGGUGC
This 502-nucleotide ribosomal RNA is filed under the name Ariosoma major. RNAcentral's name for it is "partial 16S ribosomal RNA". It matches the Rfam family "Bacterial large subunit ribosomal RNA", at positions 1926 to 2556 of the family's 2925-position model. Lineage: Eukaryota; Metazoa; Chordata; Actinopteri; Anguilliformes; Congridae. The record is from RNAcentral.